This 551-nucleotide ribosomal RNA is filed under the name Retama raetam. RNAcentral's name for it is "SSU rRNA". It matches the Rfam family "Eukaryotic small subunit ribosomal RNA", at positions 548 to 1098 of the family's 1831-position model. Lineage: Eukaryota; Viridiplantae; Streptophyta; Magnoliopsida; Fabales; Fabaceae. The record is from RNAcentral.
UUGGAGGGCAAGUCUGGUGCCAGCAGCCGCGGUAAUUCCAGCUCCAAUAGCGUAUAUUAAAGUUGUUGCAGUUAAAAAGCUCGUAGUUGAACUUCGGGGUUCACCCAUUGGUCAGGCUUAAUUGUCUGCACUGGUGAGAUGAAUCUCUACCUUCUGAGGAACUUUCAUGCCAUUUAUUUGGUGUGAUGGGAUAUCAGGACUGUUACUUUGAAAAAAUUAGAGUGUUUAAAGCAGGCUAACGUCUGAAUACAUUAGCAUGGAAUAAUGAAAUAGGACGGACUGAUUCUAUUUCGUUGGUUUCUAGGAUCACCGUAAUGAUUAAUAGGGAUAGUUGGGGGCAUUAGUAUUCAAUUGUCAGAGGUGAAAUUCUUAGAUUUAUUGAAGACUAACUACUGCGAAAGCAUUUGCCAAGGAUGUUUUCAUUAAUCAAGAACGAAAGUUAGGGGAUCGAAGACGAUCAGAUACCGUCGUAGUCUUAACCAUAAACUAUGCCGACUAGGGAUCGGACGAAGUUAAUUUUAUAAUGACGCGUUCGGCGCCUUACGGGAAAC